GAUGAACGCUGGCGGCGUGCCUAAUACAUGCAAGUCGAGCGAACGGACGAGAAGCUUGCUUCUCUGAUGUUAUCGGCGGACGGGUGAGUAACACGUGUAUAACCUACCUAUAAGACUGGGAUAACUUCGGGAAACCGGAGCUAAUCCCGGAUAAUAUUUUGAACCGCAUGGUUCAAACGUGAAAGACGGUCUUGCUGUCAGUUAUAGCUGGAUACGGGCUGCAUUAGCUAGUUGGUAAGGUAACGGCUUAUCAAGGCAACGAUGCAUAGCCGACCUGAGAGGGUGAUCGGCCACACUGGAACUGAGACACGGUCCAGACGCCUACGGGAGGCAGCAGUAGGGAAUCUUCCGCAAUGGGCGAAAGCCUGACGGAGCAACGCGGCGUGAGUGAUGAAGGUCUUCGGAUCGUAAAACUCUGUUAUUAGGGAAGAACAUAUGUGUAAGUAACUGUGCACAUCUUGACGGUACCUAAUCAGAAAGCCACGGCUAACUACGUG
Molecule: ribosomal RNA, 497 nt
Filed under: uncultured bacterium
Lineage: Bacteria
Description: partial 16S ribosomal RNA
Rfam family: Bacterial small subunit ribosomal RNA
Source: RNAcentral